UGAUACGAGGCAGAUGAAACA
RNAcentral lists this non-coding RNA (21 nucleotides) under Caenorhabditis elegans. The record is from RNAcentral. Lineage: Eukaryota; Metazoa; Nematoda; Chromadorea; Rhabditida; Rhabditidae.